Molecule: long non-coding RNA, 410 nt
Organism: Monopterus albus (swamp eel)
Lineage: Eukaryota; Metazoa; Chordata; Actinopteri; Synbranchiformes; Synbranchidae
Exons: 4
Source: RefSeq, a predicted model, not a curated record
GGUGAAGCUCAUUGGCGGGGGUGCUAUGUUUGACCAUAGACUGUAGGAAUCUGAGCAACCUAACGAUAAUGGCCGCAAUCAAGCAGUUCCCUGGGCGGCAGAAGUGGCAGCACUGGCUGCAGCAUUCUGGAAGUUGCGGUUGGUCAGGACUCCUUGAGAAAAUUCCCGUUGGGCCUUGGAGAAACUGGCACCUGUCCUCCUAUACUUCGAGUGGACCUGGUUUGGAUAAUGUACACUGCCACUUGGAAGAAAAAGACGAAGAAGAAAAAAAAGAAGCUGAAGGAGCUGUCGGACCUAGGGAGUGAAACGGGACAAUAGAAAGGACAGACAGGCCUGUACCAGCAGAUGAAGGCCACAGGGGUGAAGAGGAUGAACCAGAGGAUGGAGAGGCCGAAGUCAACACCGUACGC